GUGAAUCAUCGAAUCUUUGAACGCACCUUGCACCUUUUGGUAUUCCGAAAGGUAUGCCUGUUUGAGUGUCUUGAAACCUCACACUCUAGAGUUUUCUCUAGAGACGUGGAUUUGGGUGUUGCAAUUUGCUCACCUUGAAUGACUUAGUGGUUCCUACCGUAGCCUGAUGUAAUAAGUUUCAUCUGGUCAAGGGAAGACUGCUUCUAAUCGCCUUACGGCACUAUUUAAGACUAGACCUCAAAUCAGGUAGGACUACCCGCUGAACUUAAGCAUAUCAAUAAGCGGAGGA
Molecule: unclassified non-coding RNA, 289 nt
Filed under: Syzygospora sp.
Lineage: Eukaryota; Fungi; Basidiomycota; Tremellomycetes; Tremellales; Syzygosporaceae
Description: partial contains 5.8S ribosomal RNA, internal transcribed spacer 2, and large subunit ribosomal RNA
Rfam family: 5.8S ribosomal RNA (bases 1-71)
Source: RNAcentral